AGCGGCGGAUGGGUGAGUAACACGUGGGGAACCUGCCCCUAAGUCUGGGAUACCAUUUGGAAACAGGUGCUAAUACCGGAUAAUAAAGCAGAUCGCAUGAUCAGCUUUUGAAAGGCGGCGUAAGCUGUCGCUAAGGGAUGGCCCCGCGGUGCAUUAGCUAGUUGGUAAGGUAACGGCUUACCAAGGCGACGAUGCAUAGCCGAGUUGAGAGACUGAUCGGCCACAUUGGGACUGAGACACGGCCCAAACUCCUACGGGAGGCAGCAGUAGGGAAUCUUCCACAAUGGACGCAAGUCUGAUGGAGCAACGCCGCGUGAGUGAAGAAGGUUUUCGGAUCGUAAAGCUCUGUUGUUGGUGAAGAAGGAUAGAGGUAGUAACUGGCCUUUAUUUGACGGUAAUCAACCAGAAAGUCACGGCUAACUACGUGCCAGCAGCCGCGGUAAUACGUAGGUGGCAAGCGUUGUCCGGGUUUAUUGGGCGUAAAGCGAGCGCAGGCGGAAAAAUAAGUCUAAUGUGAAAGCCCUCGGCUUAACCGAGGAACUGCAUCGGAAACUGUUUUUCUUGAGUGCAGAAGAGGAGAGUGGAACUCCAUGUGUAGCGGUGGAAUGCGUAGAUAUAUGGAAGAACACCAGUGGCGAAGGCGGCUCUCUGGUCUGCAACUGACGCUGAGGCUCGAAAGCAUGGGUAGCGAACAGGAUUAGAUACCCUGGUAGUCCAUGCCGUAAACGAUGAGUGCUAAGUGU
Molecule: ribosomal RNA, 743 nt
Filed under: uncultured bacterium
Lineage: Bacteria
Description: bacterial SSU rRNA
Rfam family: Bacterial small subunit ribosomal RNA
Source: RNAcentral